RNAcentral lists this ribosomal RNA (190 nucleotides) under uncultured Prevotella sp. Its description in RNAcentral is "partial 16S ribosomal RNA". The record is from RNAcentral. Lineage: Bacteria; Pseudomonadati; Bacteroidota; Bacteroidia; Bacteroidales; Prevotellaceae.
GGAGUUUGGUCCGUGUCUCAGUACCAAUGUGGGGGACCUUCCUCUCAGAACCCCUACUGAUCGCAGGCUUGGUGGGCCGUUACCCCGCCAACAACCUAAUCAGACGCAUCCCCAUCCCUUAGCGAUAAAUCUUUGGUAUUGCUCAGAUGUCCUCAUAAUACAACAUAGGGCAUUAAUCCGACUUUCGCCG